This 253-nucleotide ribosomal RNA is filed under the name uncultured bacterium. RNAcentral describes it as "partial 16S ribosomal RNA". It matches the Rfam family "Bacterial small subunit ribosomal RNA", at positions 524 to 776 of the family's 1533-position model. The record is from RNAcentral.
UACGUAGGGUGCAAGCGUUAAUCGGAAUUACUGGGCGUAAAGCGUGCGCAGGCGGUGAUGUAAGACAGUUGUGAAAUCCCCGGGCUCAACCUGGGAACUGCAUCUGUGACUGCAUCGCUGGAGUACGGCAGAGGGGGAUGGAAUUCCGCGUGUAGCAGUGAAAUGCGUAGAUAUGCGGAGGAACACCGAUGGCGAAGGCAAUCCCCUGGGCCUGUACUGACGCUCAUGCACGAAAGCGUGGGGAGCAAACAGG